GCUUACGGCCACACCGCCUGGUUCACGCUUGAUCUCGGAAGCUAAGAUAGGUUGGGGCUGGUUAGUACUUGGAUGGGAGACCGCCUGGGAAUACCAGGUGCUGUAAGCU
Molecule: ribosomal RNA, 109 nt
Filed under: Scophthalmus maximus (turbot)
Lineage: Eukaryota; Metazoa; Chordata; Actinopteri; Pleuronectiformes; Scophthalmidae
Source: RNAcentral